This 240-nucleotide unclassified non-coding RNA is filed under the name soil metagenome. RNAcentral's name for it is "partial contains 5.8S ribosomal RNA, internal transcribed spacer 2, and large subunit ribosomal RNA". The record is from RNAcentral.
AACACUGUUAACCUGCGGUACCUGCGGAGGGAUCAUCGAAGAAUUAUUAUUUCCAAUUAUAAAAAAGGGGAGAGGAAAAAGGGGAAAAAGGGGGGAGGAACUCUCUCUAUGAGAGGCCUUCUCACUCUCUUUCUUUCUUUCUCCUUUUUUAUAAACAAACAAACAAUCGCAACUAUAAAAAGGAUGAUUUGGUUUGAAUGAAUGUUUGAAUGAAUUUUUGUUUGUGAAGGAAAAAAAGUG